GACGAACGCUGGCGGCGUGCUUAACACAUGCAAGUCGAGCGGUAAGGCCCUUUCGGGGGUACACGAGCGGCGAACGGGUGAGUAACACGUGGGUGACCUGCCCUUAGCUCUGGGAUAAGCCUGGGAAACUGGGUCUAAUACCGGAUAUGACUCCAUAACGCAUGUUGUGGGGUGGAAAGCCUUGUGCGGCUAGGGAUGGGCCCGCGGCCUAUCAGCUUGUUGGUGGGGUGAUGGCCUACCAAGGCGACGACGGGUAGCCGGCCUGAGAGGGCGACCGGCCACACUGGGACUGAGACACGGCCCAGACUCCUACGGGAGGCAGCAGGUGGGGAAUCUUGC
Molecule: ribosomal RNA, 339 nt
Filed under: uncultured bacterium
Lineage: Bacteria
Description: bacterial SSU rRNA
Rfam family: Bacterial small subunit ribosomal RNA
Source: RNAcentral